GGAGGGUUAGUUUUACCCGCCUGGAAUUAAGCAUAUAAUUAAGCGGAGGAAAAGAAACUAACCAGGAUUGGCAUAGUAACGGCGAGUGAGAUGCCAAAAGCCCAGCCUGAGAAUCGUCACUUGUGUCGAAUUGUGGUUCUUUUUGUUCUGCCAGUGGACCAAGUCCCCUGGAACGGGGCAGCAGAGAGGGUGAGACUCCCGUAAUGCCACAGGUAUGAAAAUUGGCUGUGAGUCGAGUUGUUUGGGAUUGCAGCUCUAAGUGGGUGGUAAAUUCCACCCAAGGCUAAAUACUGGUGGGAGACCGAUAGCGUACAAGUACCGUGAGGGAAAGAUGCAAAGCCGCGCGAAAGCGCUGUCAAAGAGUACCUGAACUUGCUGGAAAGGAAGCGAAUGAAACCAGUGUCUGCCAUCCUGCACUUCUCUUGUUGCUUGCGACUGGGGCGCUGCAGUUGGCCAUGUCCUCCGGAGUAUCUUUGGGGUUGAAAAUCGUUGCACUUUGAGAUUCUCUGCUAGGACGAAAGUGGUUUUCUUCUCCCCGUCUUGAAACACGGACCAAGGAUUUU
RNAcentral lists this ribosomal RNA (563 nucleotides) under Auricula weizhouensis. RNAcentral's name for it is "Auricula sp. WZ-1704-E8 partial large subunit ribosomal RNA". It matches the Rfam family "Eukaryotic large subunit ribosomal RNA", at positions 21 to 676 of the family's 3401-position model. Lineage: Eukaryota; Bacillariophyta; Bacillariophyceae; Surirellales; Surirellaceae. The record is from RNAcentral.